RNAcentral lists this ribosomal RNA (519 nucleotides) under uncultured bacterium. Its description in RNAcentral is "bacterial SSU rRNA". It matches the Rfam family "Bacterial small subunit ribosomal RNA", at positions 10 to 518 of the family's 1533-position model. The record is from RNAcentral.
AGUUGAUUAUGGCUCAGGAUGAACGCUAGCUACAGGCUUAACACAUGCAAGUCGAGGGGCAGCAUGUGGUUGCUUGCAACCGAUGAUGGCGACCGGCGCACGGGUGAGUAACGCGUAUCCAACCUUCCCUAUAGUAGAGGAUAGCCCGGCGAAAGUCGGAUUAAUACUCUAUGUUGUUCAAUGCAGACAUCUAAGUUGAAUCAAAGGUUCACCGCUAUAGGAUGGGGGAUGCGUCUGAUUAGGUAGUCGGCGGGGUAACGGCCCACCGAGCCAUCGAUCAGUAGGGGUUCUGAGAGGAAGGUCCCCCACAUUGGAACUGAGACACGGUCCAAACUCCUACGGGAGGCAGCAGUGAGGAAUAUUGGUCAAUGGGCGAGAGCCUGAACCAGCCAAGUAGCCGUGCAGGAUGACGGCCCUAUGGGUUGUAAACUGCUUUUAUACAGGGAUAAAGUCGGGGACGUGUCCCCGUUUGUAGGUACUGUAUGAAUAAGGACCGGCUAAUUCCGUGCCAGCAGCAGC